GCAGUGGUGGUUCAGUAGUAGAAUUCUUACCUCCCAUGCGUGAGACCCUAGUUCGAUUCCUGGCCAAUGCA
This 71-nucleotide transfer RNA is filed under the name Loxodonta africana (African savanna elephant). It matches the Rfam family "tRNA". From Rfam's summary of the family: Transfer RNA (tRNA) molecules are approximately 80 nucleotides in length. The record is from Rfam by way of RNAcentral. Lineage: Eukaryota; Metazoa; Chordata; Mammalia; Proboscidea; Elephantidae.